AUGCAAAGUGUCUCAACAUGUGUUAUGAAGGGAGGACACCAGUCACCUCAUAGGACUCCCCAGAGUUACACACUCAGCACGGCCACUCAGCACGGUCAAACCUGCUACGAAACCAACACACACACACUCAGUACGGCCACUCCCCAGAGUUACACACUCAGCACGGCCACUCCCCAGAGUUACACACUCAGCACGGCCACUCCCCAGAGUUACACACUCAGCACGGCCACUCAGCACGGCCACUCCCCAGAGUUACACACUCAGUACGGCCACUCAGCACGGCCACUCCCCAGAGUUACACACUCAGCACGGCCACUCAGUACGGCCACUCAGCACGGCCACUCAGUACGGCCACUCCCCAGAGUUACACACUCAGCACGGCCACUCCCUAGAGUUACACACUCAGCACGGCCACUCAGCACGGCCACUCCCCAGAGUUACACACUCAGCACGGCCACUCCCCAGAGUUACACACUCAGUACGGUCACUCAGCACGGCCACUCAGCACGGCCACUCAGCACGGCCACUCCCCAGAGUUACACACUCAGUACGGCCACUCAGCACGGCCACUCAGCACUCCCCAGAGUUACACACUCAGCACGGCCACUCAGCACGGCCACUCAGUACGGCCACUCAGUACGGCCACUCAGCACGGCCACUCAGCACGGCCACUCAGCACGGCCACUCAGCACGGCCACUCAGCACGGCCACUCCCCAGAGUUACACACUCAGUACGGCCACUCAGCACGGCCACUCAGCACGGCCACUCAGCACAGCCACUCAGCACGGCCACUCCCCAGAGUUACACACUCAGUACGGCCACUCAGCACGGCCACUCAGCACGGUCAAACCUGCUACGAAACCAACACACACACACUCAGUACGGCCACUCCCCAGAGUUACACACUCAGCACGGCCACUCCCCAGAGUUACACACUCAGCACGGCCACUCCCCAGAGUUACACACUCAGCACGGCCACUCAGCACGGCCACUCCCCAGAGUUACACACUCAGUACGGCCACUCAGCACGGCCACUCCCCAGAGUUACACACUCAGCACGGCCACUCAGUACGGCCACUCAGCACGGCCACUCAGUACGGCCACUCCCCAGAGUUACACACUCAGCACGGCCACUCCCUAGAGUUACACACUCAGCACGGCCACUCAGCACGGCCACUCCCCAGAGUUACACACUCAGCACGGCCACUCCCCAGAGUUACACACUCAGUACGGUCACUCAGCACGGCCACUCAGCACGGCCACUCAGCACGGCCACUCCCCAGAGUUACACACUCAGUACGGCCACUCAGCACGGCCACUCAGCACUCCCCAGAGUUACACACUCAGCACGGCCACUCAGCACGGCCACUCAGUACGGCCACUCAGUACGGCCACUCAGCACGGCCACUCAGCACGGCCACUCAGCACGGCCACUCAGCACGGCCACUCAGCACGGCCACUCCCCAGAGUUACACACUCAGUACGGCCACUCAGCACGGCCACUCAGCACGGCCACUCAGCACAGCCACUCAGCACGGCCACUCCCCAGAGUUACACACUCAGUACGGCCACUCAGCACGGCCACUCAGCACUCCCCAGAGUUACACACUCAGCACGGCCACUCAGCACGGCCACUCAGUACGGCCACUCAGUACGGCCACUCAGUACGGCCACUCAGCACGGCCACUCAGCACGGCCACUCAGCACGGCCACUCCCCAGAGUUACACACUCAGCACGGCCACUCAGCACGGCCACUCAGCACGGCCACUCAGUACGGCCACUCAGCACGGCCACUCAGCACGGCCACUCAGUACGGGCACUCAGCACGGCCACUCAGCACGGCCACUCAGCACGGCCACUCAGCACGGCCACUUAG
Long non-coding RNA from Oncorhynchus kisutch (coho salmon), 1878 nucleotides. NCBI's taxonomy places the organism in Eukaryota, Metazoa, Chordata, Actinopteri, Salmoniformes, Salmonidae. The record is from Ensembl.